CACUCAAAAACAGAGAAACGUUUAAGGUAUUUAUUAAUAAUGCAGAAAGUACGUAGAGCGAGGAGACCCGGCGGGCCGUCAAACUGAAAAGGAAAACGAGAGGAGGUGAGUUCAGGUAGCGGAAACAACUGUCAGUAAGAUGAUCCAGGAGGAGGGCGGACAAGGUUCGAUUUACCGGACAGAUGGAUUACCAGAGCGGCAGCCAACUGGGGAAUAUAUCCAGAGUCCAAAUUACAAUCUAGGGUUUCUUCAGAAGAUCUCCAGCAAGGAGCGAGGAGGUCAUGUCAGAAUUUGAAUCGGGUGUUCUGGAGCAGACAAACAUCUAAAACCUGCAGGGAAGGGGUCCCUGAGGACCAGGGCUGUGAACCAUUGAGGAUGGCCAUUAACUGAAUGCAGUUUAAACCACAGAGUGACGUUGGCCUGAUUCAUUCCUGAAGUGUGCGCUGAGUUUCCAAACAUGUCUUUAGAAACAGACCACCUCUCCCUGGGAGAUGUCCCCAAAACCUUCAGCCUUCUAACCUGAGACCACAACAUGUCAAGAUUGACAACAACAAAAUCUCCUCAACCCUGUGUUAGGACUUGUGAGAUAGAGGACCCCAGAAUGCAGACUAGAAUGCACCAUGUCGGCCAUUCUCUGUGAACGUCAAGAUGGUGAUGGAUAGAAAAAACCUCGUACUUGUACUCAUCGUCUUCCGCUUUAUCCAGGACCGGGCCGCGGGGGCAGCAGACUCAGCAGAGACGCCCAGACAUCCCUCUCCCCAGACACCUCCUCCAGCUCCUCCGGAUGGAGCC
Molecule: long non-coding RNA, 792 nt
Organism: Girardinichthys multiradiatus
Lineage: Eukaryota; Metazoa; Chordata; Actinopteri; Cyprinodontiformes; Goodeidae
Exons: 6
Source: RefSeq, a predicted model, not a curated record